RNAcentral lists this long non-coding RNA (836 nucleotides) under Malus domestica (apple). Its description in RNAcentral is "long non-coding RNA (MDOM_LNC016839)". The record is from RNAcentral. Lineage: Eukaryota; Viridiplantae; Streptophyta; Magnoliopsida; Rosales; Rosaceae.
AUCAGCUUGGUUAUCAGUGAUGAUACCUCUUCUGUAGUCAUUUCAAAAAUGGCUGAGUAGUAGGCCUAGGCAAUGGAUAUCUAUAUGUUAUCCAUAGAAGCAACCUUGAGAAUAACGACGUCACCAUUAGACAUGAUUCUCAAUCAUGUGGUUCAGUCUCUCAUAUGAGUUCAGAGCUUGAUGAGACCUUGAUUCCCUGGCUUGAGCUAUCGCCCCAUUAGUGUCGUAGUGUCGAUACAAUAGAGACACUUUCUGGUUGGAACCGAAUAGAGAGUUCAUAAAUGAACUUUCCCAUCCAAACAACAUUGUUGUAAGCUUUUAUAUGGCAAUAUAUUUGCAUUCAUAAUGGAACACACUAAAGUCAUUACUUUUAAUGUUUCCAUCCAAAUAUCUCUUUAGUCAUAAUAAAGAGAUAUAUGUUUAUCUCUUCAUUCAUAAUGAAGAAACAUCCAAUGAUGGAUUAGAUUCAUAAUCUAAUACAUUUACGCUUCCAUUACGUUACUCUAAUUCUUCCUCAUUCUUUGAGGAAUCUAUCCUUUAGUAUUUCUUAAAUACUUAAGGACUCACUUGACAGUUGCCGUGGUUCUGAUCCUGGGCUUGCACUGAUAUCGUCUUGUACCUUUCUAGGUACAACUCAUAUCAAUGUUUUUCAUACAAUAUGAAAUACAUAAAUCACCUCUCUGCGUAUGCAUAAAGGAUUCUAUUUACGCAUUAUUUCUUUGGGAGUCAAAGAGUACGUUCUCUUUGAGAAGAGCAACUUCUUAGUCUCAUUAGAGUUGUCCUUCUAAUUGAAGUUUAUCAUCAUAUGAGAAACUUCCUAGCAUCUAUUGUCUAUU